Molecule: ribosomal RNA, 446 nt
Filed under: uncultured Prevotella sp.
Lineage: Bacteria; Pseudomonadati; Bacteroidota; Bacteroidia; Bacteroidales; Prevotellaceae
Description: bacterial SSU rRNA
Rfam family: Bacterial small subunit ribosomal RNA
Source: RNAcentral
UGAGGGAAUAUUUGGGGUCAAUGGACGCAAGUCUGAACCAGCCAAGUAGCGUGCAGGAUGACGGCCCUAUGGGUUGUAAACUGCUUUUAUGCGGGGAUAAAGUGUGCCAUGUAUGGCAUUUUGUAGGUACCGCAUGAAUAAGGACCGGCUAAUUCCGUGCCAGCAGCCGCGGUAAUACGGAAGGUCCGGGCGUUAUCCGGAUUUAUUGGGUUUAAAGGGAGCGUAGGCCGGAGAUUAAGCGUGUUGUGAAAUGUAGACGCUCAACGUCUGCACUGCAGCGCGAACUGGUUUCCUUGAGUACGCACAAAGUGGGCGGAAUUCGUGGUGUAGCGGUGAAAUGCUUAGAUAUCACGAAGAACUCCGAUUGCGAAGGCAGCUCACUGGAGCGCAACUGACGCUGAAGCUCGAAAGUGCGGGUAUCGAACAGGAUUAGAUACCCUGGUAGU